UACGUAGGGGCUAGCGUUGUCCGGAAUCACUGGGCGUAAAGGGUUCGCAGGCGGAAAUGCAAGUCAGAUGUAAAAGGCAGUAGCUUAACUACUGUAAGCAUUUGAAACUGCAUAUCUUGAGAAGAGUAGAGGUAAGUGGAAUUUUUAGUGUAGCGGUGAAAUGCGUAAUAUUAAAAAGAAUACCGGUGGCGAAGGCGACUUACUGGGCUCAUUCUGACGCUGAGGAACGAAAGCGUGGGUAGCAAACAGGAUUAGAUACCCUGGUAGUCAAGGGCG
This 276-nucleotide ribosomal RNA is filed under the name uncultured Eubacteriales bacterium. RNAcentral describes it as "uncultured Clostridiales bacterium partial 16S ribosomal RNA". It matches the Rfam family "Bacterial small subunit ribosomal RNA", at positions 524 to 802 of the family's 1533-position model. The record is from RNAcentral. Lineage: Bacteria; Bacillati; Bacillota; Clostridia; Eubacteriales.